AGUGAACGCUGGCGGUAGGCCUAACACAUGCAAGUCGAACGGCAGCACAGUAAGAGCUUGCUCUUACGGGUGGCGAGUGGCGGACGGGUGAGGAAUACAUCGGAAUCUACUUUUUCGUGGGGGAUAACGUAGGGAAACUUACGCUAAUACCGCAUACGACCUACGGGUGAAAGCAGGGGAUCUUCGGACCUUGCGCGAUUGAAUGAGCCGAUGUCGGAUUAGCUAGUUGGCGGGGUAAAGGCCCACCAAGGCGACGAUCCGUAGCUGGUCUGAGAGGAUGAUCAGCCACACUGGAGCGGGAACGGGGCCAAGACCCCUGAGGGGGGCAGCAGUGGGGAAUAUUGGACAAGGGGCGAAGGCCUGACCCAGCCAUCCCGCGGGGGGGAAAAAGGCCUGCGGUUUGUAACGCCUUUUUAUGGGAAAAAAAAAGCAGCAGGUUAAUACCCCGCUGUUGUGACGAUACACAAAAAAAAGGCCGCGGCUAGGUUGGUG
Molecule: ribosomal RNA, 492 nt
Filed under: uncultured bacterium
Lineage: Bacteria
Description: partial 16S ribosomal RNA
Rfam family: Bacterial small subunit ribosomal RNA
Source: RNAcentral